AGGGGUAUAACUCAGUGGUAGAGCGCGUGCUUAGCAUGCACAAGGUCCUAGGUUCAAUCCCUGGUACCUCCG
This 72-nucleotide transfer RNA is filed under the name Camelus bactrianus (Bactrian camel). It matches the Rfam family "tRNA". From Rfam's summary of the family: Transfer RNA (tRNA) molecules are approximately 80 nucleotides in length. Their secondary structure includes four short double-helical elements and three loops (D, anti-codon, and T loops). Further hydrogen bonds mediate the characteristic L-shaped molecular structure. tRNAs have two regions of fundamental functional importance: the anti-codon, which is responsible for specific mRNA codon recognition, and the 3' end, to which the tRNAs corresponding amino acid is attached (by aminoacyl-tRNA synthetases). tRNAs cope with the degeneracy of the genetic code in two manners: having more than one tRNA (with a specific anti-codon) for a particular amino acid; and 'wobble' base-pairing, i.e. permitting non-standard base-pairing at the 3rd anti-codon position. Lineage: Eukaryota; Metazoa; Chordata; Mammalia; Artiodactyla; Camelidae. The record is from Rfam by way of RNAcentral. RNAcentral also lists the same sequence under 1 other name.